RNAcentral lists this ribosomal RNA (253 nucleotides) under uncultured bacterium. RNAcentral's name for it is "partial 16S ribosomal RNA". It matches the Rfam family "Bacterial small subunit ribosomal RNA", at positions 524 to 776 of the family's 1533-position model. The record is from RNAcentral.
UACGUAGGCAGCGAGCGUUGUUCGGAGUUACUGGGCGUAAAGGGUGCGUAGGUGGUGAUGCAAGUCUGGUGUGAAAUCUCGGAGCUCAACUCCGAAAUUGCACCGGAUACUGCGUGACUCGAGGACUGUAGAGGAGAUCGGAAUUCACGGUGUAGCAGUGAAAUGCGUAGAUAUCGUGAGGAAGACCAGUUGCGAAGGCGGAUCUCUGGGCAGUUCCUGACACUGAGGCACGAAGGCCAGGGGAGCAAACGGG